CCUGGUGGCUCAGAUGGUAAAGAAUCUGCCUUCAGUGCAGGAGACCCAGGUUCAAUCCCUGGGUCAGGA
This 69-nucleotide transfer RNA is filed under the name Ovis aries (sheep). It matches the Rfam family "tRNA". Rfam says of the family: Transfer RNA (tRNA) molecules are approximately 80 nucleotides in length. Their secondary structure includes four short double-helical elements and three loops (D, anti-codon, and T loops). Lineage: Eukaryota; Metazoa; Chordata; Mammalia; Artiodactyla; Bovidae. The record is from Rfam by way of RNAcentral.